Long non-coding RNA from Pecten maximus, 217 nucleotides. RefSeq lists it as uncharacterized. NCBI's taxonomy places the organism in Eukaryota, Metazoa, Mollusca, Bivalvia, Pectinida, Pectinidae. The record is from RefSeq and is a predicted model, not a curated record. The transcript is spliced from 3 exons.
CUUUCUAUUGUACAACAUUAAUGUACAACAGGUACUCUCUAUUGUACUAAAGGUACUCUCUAUUGUACAACAUUAAUGUACAACAGGUACUCUCUAUUGUACUAAAGGUACUCUCUAUUGUACAACAUUAAUGUACAACAGGUACUCUCUAUUGUACUAAAGGUACUCUCUAUUGUACAACAUUAAUGUACAACAGGUACUCUCUAUUGUACUAAAG